RNAcentral lists this long non-coding RNA (491 nucleotides) under Manihot esculenta (cassava). RNAcentral's name for it is "long non-coding RNA (MESC_LNC012967)". Lineage: Eukaryota; Viridiplantae; Streptophyta; Magnoliopsida; Malpighiales; Euphorbiaceae. The record is from RNAcentral.
UUCUUGGAGUUGCCUCAGGAUUUCAGGUUUUACCUCCCAUUCUUCCUCAUCAUCACUCAUUAAGUCAUAGAUAGGAACCUUACCUUUCAUCUGUGAAUGCCGGCGCAUGGUUGCAUCUGGCGAUGAAGUGGACGGCGGCGGUGUCGGCAUUGGAGAGGCUGCGACCGGCGAGGAGGAACGCGCGGAAGGGGUUGUGACAGGUGAGGAGGAACGCGCGGAAGGGGCUGUGACCGGCGAGUCCGCUGGUAUGGUCUGCGUGCGAGGCAUGGUCGCCGCGUCCGAGGGGAUCUUCGUCGUGGUCUGGCGGCGGCGCGAUGAGCGGCGGCUCCCGAUCGAAACGCCGGCUGCGUGGCUCUUGGCGGCACGGGAAGAAGCGGCGCGGGAAGAAGCGGCGCGGGCCAUCUGCAGAAAAGAGAAGAAAAAGAAAAGAAAAAGAUAGAAGAUGAAGAUGACAGAGAUAGAAAAUUUUUUUAUAUUUUUUAUAUUUUAUU